AAAGCGUUUGGUGGUGAGCAAAGGGCCAAGGGGGCUGGCGGAAGGACUCGCAACAAGGGGCAAAGGGGUGGCAUGUGGUACUGUGUCUUUAAGAAAGUGGAUAACGGCUGGUUUCCCUCCCGAUCUCUGUGGGUGAAGUUUGUCCAGGAUUUUAUUCUACCUUGGUCUUGUGAGUGUCCACAGAGUCAUCCUGUAGUUUGUGCAGGUCGGUAUCCUGCUUGCUUUUGCCCCUAGUGGGGAGAGUCAGUCUACCGAGGUGAUCCACCAAGUGAGUACACCUAAGGGACCCACAGUCAUAUCAAGACAUUACAAAAAGAAGAUGAGGGGAAGUAGCAUAUGGGGCAGAGAUCUUGAGGGGAAGGAGGACAGAAGUGGAACGAAGGCCUAAUGAAAAGGCAUGACAACACCUCAGCCGGCCUAAGGGCAAAAGGUGCUGACAGAGGGACAGAGACACGAGCAGUGAUUUGUCAGGGAGGUUGUUGGAGAGGCAGAGGAAGGCGAUGGACCAGACACAGACAUCGGAGACAGUAUGAUUGAUACAUUGUGUAAAACCCAGCUUGUGGUGCCAGAUCUCCAAGCCCACAAUUCUAUCGGCAAACACCAUAAAUGCUUGACGUGUCUUUCUUUUGUUUGUUUGUGAUGGCCUGCAUUGGGAGGGGGACGUGAAUUGGAGUUAAUUUGUGGUGAAUCGGAGUCUUGAACUGGAGAGGCCAGGGGUGAAAACCCCACUCAGCAUGAAGCUCAGAAGAUGACCUCUUAGGACCAGCUAGCUCAUAAGUUUAUGGGAUGGGUAACAUAGGAUGAAUUCCCAUGUGUGCCCCCCUGAGCUUUUUGAAGGGAAAGUAGGCUACAUCAGUGAUGGCCUUUUGGCCACCAGGGUGGAAGUGAAGUGCUGGCCAAGCAUCACUGAAUAUCAGCUGCUGAGUCCUGUUGAAGAAAUGUGGGGGCCUGGACUCAGUGCCGGUUGCCAUAGUGCUUUGGCCCAGAGAGGCUCAGUGUCACAAAGGGCUGUGUGAACUGAAAUGCUGGAUGCUGGGAGUUGGUUGCUCUGUGGGUUGUAGGAGUGGCGUCGGGUUAGAAGUGAGAGUAGUGCUAGCUUGGCUAGUUUUUUCUUGAGAUAUGUCUUCUAGUGCAUACACUGAGUCUGAUGAAUUUGAUGAGGACCUCAUGUCCGCUAGCAGCAUGGGAGAAGAAGAGGCGGCUGCUCUUAUGAGAGACCUGGAGCAGUCCGUGAGUUUUUCCAUCGGUAUCCUCCCAGAAGGUUUGAGCGAGGAAAAGCUCGUAAUUGAACUCGCUUCUGUCCUCCUCGGCCUGACGAGUGAAGACCCAGAGAUCAAAUUGAAGGCUCUCCAGAACUUCUUCAGGAACCUCACAGGGGUCAAGGCUGAUCCAUGUGGACAGCUGCCUGAAGAACUGAUUGGACGUCUGGUGGCAGUGACUUGCCUCUGUGCUUUAGAUGAGAACAGAGAGAUCAGGCAGAUGGCGGCAGAAGUCCUGUGUGAGCUCCUGCCCAUGCUGCGCCGUGGAGAACAGAGGCUGAUGUAUACACCUUGGGGCAAGGACCUGGUAAAACGAGCUCUCUCUGCCCUGGGACCAACUAGAGAACCCAACCCUUCUUUCUUCAGCGGAAACUGCUACAACCUUGCAAUGGUCUUCGGUGGAUUCCUCUCCUCCGAGCAGCUCCUGGAGGUCAUGCAUUUCUUGGGAGGGGAUCUGACCACUGAAGGCUCAUUUGACCUCCUAAACGUAUUCCACCUGCUGCGCGAGGUCAUAAAGCAGUUCAGCGGCAAGUCAAUGUGGUUGGAGGAACUUCUGGACCACUUGUUCAUCCGGCUGAAGGACAGAGUCCCACAUGGUCAAGACGUAGCCUUGCUAGCCUUCCCCAUCUUGGCAGUAGAUCAUCUUGAGGAGGUGGUGCUAUACCUCCUCAAACACCCUUUCAGCAAGUGCCAGGAGUACUGGCAGGCAAUAUUCAAUGCUGCUGACCACAGCCAGAUACUUGUUGAGGUGGCAAAAUGGAUGCCGGAGUGCAGCAGAGUUGCGACUCGUGCAGUCCGGGUCCUUUUCUUAUUCCUUAAGUCUAGUGACAAGCAAGCUGUGAAGGAGAGGUUUCCACACCUCUUACUUGCCCUGCUGCAACAGAUCUAUGAACGGCUGGAGGAGAAUCGGGGUGUGAUUGAGAGCCUGGAAACUCUGCACCUCCUCCUUAGGACUGUUGACAUAGAGGAGGAGAGUCUGAGGGAAUACCUGGACCACUUUGGCAGGCCAGAAGGCUUCAGCCACGGACUAUCCAUUUUGGUGAGCAUACUCAUCGCUAAAGGUUCGUGGUCAACCCCAGCCCUGGUACACUAUAUUGGUGAUAUUUUUGAAGGCAAACAAACAACUCGCCUGCCUGAAAUAGCACUGGACAUCUACCUUGAGCUGUUCAUAAACCAGCACAUCGUGGAGGCCAACCAGGAGACGGUGGAUUUCAUCUUCAACUGUCUUGGCCAUGACAACGCUCAAGUACGGAAGCUAAGCCUCCAGGGGAUCGCUCUUCUGUUCAAUUCAGAAGUGGACCCUUGGACUAUAUCGGUGGCUCUCUUAAGCUCACUGGGAAUGGCAUGCAAGCCAGAUGUCAUUCCCGAGCUAAUGAUGCUGGUGGAAAUUGCCCUCCACAGUGUCAGUGGAGAGAGAGGAGAGGCCUAUAUGAGGAAGCUGGCAUCCAUCUACUGUGGCUACAUUGCCCACGAGAAAGCCGCGGUCCGAGCAGCAGCCAUCCAACAUCUUGGGAUGCUUCGGACCAGGUUUGGGGAGCAAUGGCCUCCAUGUACACCUGAGGAAGGCCUGGAUGAGCUUGUGAAUGUUUUGAUUCACCUGGAGGAUGAGGAUCAGGUGUCUGAGGCAACAAAGGCCACUCUGAAACAGCUGGUCCCAGAGGUGAGGUGGCGGGUAGACCCCAAAACCUAUAGCCUCCAUCGUGUGCUCCAUCAGGCGGCCAAAUAUGUGACAAAAAAGUACAAGAAGGAUCUGGUGCGUGGUGCUGCCUUCAGCUGCAUGCUUCCUUCCUCCAACAAUCUGCCAGCAGUCUCAAGGGUGGCAGCACUCUUUGUCGGACACCUUGCUCACAAGGAUGCAACCUUCAUCAUGUUGGAGGAUAUGGGCUCUUACUGUACAUGGCUUGAAGGGAUGGCCGAGCAUAAUGAUGAAGAGGUGCGGCGUGCAGGAGAAAGCACCAUCUGUGUCAUGCAAAAAGCCAUUAAUGACCAUGCUAAAGGGAGAGUACACACACUAAAGAAAAGGUUUAUCCGGCAUGUGAAAAAAGAAAGAUGCCCCAAAGACUUCAAACACUCAGUGCCUGCUCGAAAAUCAUCAAAGUCAUCAUCCAAAGCUGUAAAAUCCAAAGCUGUAAGAUUGAUAUCGGAGGAGGAUGGCAGUGGGGUAGACAAUGUAGUGACAACAGUAGCUACCACAACUAUCACAACUUCUACUACAAGUCAACCUUCUAGUACAACAAGGCAGCCUUCUACUACAACCACGACAAAGCAGGCUUCUACUACAGUUACAACGAAACAGCCUUCUACUACAACCACAGUGAAGAAACCUUCCACCACAACAAGGCAGUCUUCUACUAUGACCACCAUAAAGCAAACUCCUACUACAAACAAAGCUGUGGCAACUCCUAGUAUGACUGCAAUGCAGCUGCCUUCUACUGCUGUUACAAUGUCAGCUUCUACUAUGACUACAACAAGGCUGCCUUCAACUAUGACCACAACAAGAGAGCCUUCUACAACUGCAAAUCAACCUGACACGGAGCGUACAACCAAAGGAAAUAAAAGUAUUGAAUCAACUUCUUUGAAGACCAUAUUAUCCAAACCCCUUCUCCCCAAUCCAAAAAAAUAACCACAUCCUUCAGCAUUACUACCACAAAACCAUUGAGGCCAAAUACUAGCUUGCCACCUCACACUUCUUCAAGUAUUAGUAAAAUACUGACUUCUACUGUGGCUAAAGUCACAGGUACGGCUGCUAUGAAAACCACAACUACUCCAGCUAAAGGGACAACGACAAUAUCCAAAAGAGACACUACUACUGUAGCUAUGGAAGCAACUUCAACAGCCGACAGAGACACAACCAAUGCAAACAGCCAGGCUGUAACAAGAAUGGAAAAAAGUGAAGCAACAAAUGAAAUUGAUAAAAGUGAUAUCACAGCUGCAAAUAAAGAGACUACAAUAAUAGACACUAAAGACACAAAUAGUAAUUUAGGCACUGCAAGUCCAAUACAGACAGCAGAUAUUACAACCACAGGGACUCUAAUAACUGAUAAAUCCGAUGCAACUGCAGAUUCCAAAGAAGCAACCACUGCAGAUAAGGAAACAACAUCUGUGGAAAGAAGAGAAUCAACAGCCAUUAAUCAGGAGCCAGGUAUGGAUGAUAAAAAAGACAGUAGUACUGUUGAUGCCACAGUCAUCACUUCAGCUGAUAGAGAAAAGGCAACUACACCUCUCACAGAUACAACUACAAGUAUUGAGAAAGAGAUUAAAGAGUCAACCGCAGAGGAUAAUAAGAGACAGAAAACUCUAAAGAGAGAUCUGUUACCAGAAUCAAAGAAAAAAUGACAGUUGGUGAAAUGGAAACUUCAGAAAAUCAAAAAGAUUCUAGUGCAACUGCUGUUACUGAGGGGAUGCCAACUGAAUUGCUGCCAACCAUAGCCGAUAGCUCAAAAAAAGAGACUAUGACUCCAUCAAGCCCAAAUUCUAGAGAUACUACAAACACAAUAGAAUCAGCAAUUACAUCUCGGACCAUCAGAGAAAUUGAUCAAACUCAGGAACCAACGAACAAGCCAGAGCAACUUGUAACUCUAGAUAAUUCAGAUCUCAUUCCUGAUGUUCUGCUAAGAGGUACACCUCAGCCUGAGGUUGAUUUUGGAAGUGUGAGACCAGAACAGAGUAGUACAGUGACAGAGACAAUAAUACAGACUGAUCCAACAAGAGACACAGCCAAUCCUGAUGGUGAUGAUAAAAAUUACAAACCAGAAAGUAGUACUACAGUCAGAGCAUCAACAAUGACACAGACUGAGCCAACAAGCAACACAGACAGGCUUGAUGGCAGUUAUACAAAUGACAAGCCAGGAAGUAGCACAACAGUCACAGAGACAAGAGUAACACAGACUGAUCCAACAAAUGAUGCACGCAGACUUGGCAGUGAUAGUAACACACCAGAAGGGACAACUUCUAUACACAGAGUAUAACACAGUCAGAUCCAACAAGUAGCACAUCAAGCCCUGACAGUGAUGUUAAAAAUGACAUACCAAAGGCAACUACUACAAUCGCAGAGACAAUAAUACAGACUGAUCUCUCAAGUGACAUACCUACUCCUGAUGGUGAUGAUAAAAAUAAAAAAUCAGGAAGCAGCACUACAGCAGUACUCACAGAGACAACAACAACACAGACUGAUGGAGAUGAUAAAAGUGACAAGCCAGAAGGAACUACUAUAGUUGCAAAGACAAAAAUACAGACUGAUCUCCCAAGUGACACAUUUACUCCUGAUGAUGCUGAUAAAAACCAAAAGCCAGAAAGCAGUACCAUAGUCAUGGGGACAACACCAACUGAUCUAGGUGACACAUCCAAUCCUGAGGACACUAACAAAAGUGACAAACCAGAAGGGACUACUAGAGUCACAGAAACAACACAGACUGAUCCAGGUGACACAACCAAUCCUGAUGGUGGUAAUAAAAGUGACAAAUCAGAAAGGACUACUACAGUCACAGAGACAAUCAUAACAGAGACUGAUCCAGAAAAUGGCACACCUAGCCCUGUUGGUGAUGAUAAAAGUGACAGGCCAGAAGGGACUACCACAGUCACAGAGAGAAGCAUAACAGAGACUGAUCCAGCAAAUGACACACCUAGCCCUGUUGGUGACGAUAAAAGUGUCAGGCCAGAAGGGACUACCACAGUCACAGAGACAAUCAUAACAGAGACCUGCCCUGAAAGUGAUUAUAAAAAUGACAGACCUGCAGAGACCACAACAGUCAGAGAGACAGUAAUAACAGAAACAAUAAUAACAGACACUGAUCUAAGAAGUGGUACACCCAAACCUGAAAGUAAUGAUAAAAAUGACAGACCUGAAGGGACCACAACAGUUACAGAGAUGAUAACCAUACAGACCGAUCCAGCAAAUGGCACACACAACCCUGUUGGUGAUGAUAAAAAUGACAAACCAGAAACAACCACUACAGUCAGAGAAAUCAUUACAACAGGAACUGAUCCUUCUUCAAGUGAUCCAGAGAUACAAAAAAUAGCAUCAUCACCCUCUAAGCCACCAAAUGAUGAGCCUAGUCCAAAUGGCAACAGGAAUGGUGACAGGCCAGGUGAUACUACAGAAAUAAUGGAGACAACAACAAUAAUCACAGAAACUAAUACACCAAAUCCCAAUCAAAACGAUUCCCCUAAUCCUGAUGAAAGUGACAGACCAGACAGCGUCACUACAGUCACAAAAACAACUACAACCACAACAGAAUGAAACCCAAAGGACGGUGAUAAAAAUGGCAAGACAGAAGUUAUCACUAAAGUUACAUGGAUAACUACUACUACUACUACCACCACCACCACCCAGUAAAAUACAACUGAACAACCAGAAACAACCACACGUGAUUUUACAACUAAUACAAAAAUUGACCUUGUUUCAGAUAAACCCACCACAGAAAAUCCAACUAACAAGAAUACAAAUACUACAGUAACACAGGUGACUACAACUUCCUCGGUGACAUCCAAACCUCUCAGCACCCAAACUUCUACAGUUGAUAAGACUACACAAUAUACCUCCACUUUGCCCGCCACACUUACAACUACAAAAAGAAGAGUGAUCUAUUACCCAACUACAAUAUAUUCCACAACAAGAUCUCCUGAGAGAACUCCCAAUAUAACCAGAGAGUAUGUUCGACCAGAAAAGAUUGCCACGCCCUUAUUGUACAAAGCAAGUCCCAGGAGCACUGGUAGGCAAUAUUCCGUGCUGCCGGAUACUAACUGAGGUGGCAAAAUGGAUUCCGGAGUGCAGCAAAGUUGCGCUAAAAAAUCAUCAAAGUCAUCAUCCAAAGCUGUAAGAGUGAUUUCGGAGGAGGAUGGCAGUAGGGUAGACAAUGUAGUGACAACAGUAGCUACCACAACUACCACAACUUCUACUACAAGUCAACCUUCUA
RNA transcript from Hemicordylus capensis (graceful crag lizard), 7174 nucleotides. RefSeq lists it as uncharacterized. NCBI's taxonomy places the organism in Eukaryota, Metazoa, Chordata, Lepidosauria, Squamata, Cordylidae. The record is from RefSeq and is a predicted model, not a curated record. The transcript has 22 exons.